GAUGAAGAACGCAGCGAAAUGCGAUAAGUAAUGUGAAUUGCAGAAUUCAGCGAAUCAUCGAAUCUUUGAACGCACCUUGCGCCCUUUGGCCAUUCCGAAGGGCAUGCCUGUUUGAGUAUCAUGAACACCUCAACUCUUUAUGGUUUUCCAUGAUGAGCUUGGACUUUGGGGGUUUUGCUGGCCUAUGGUCGGCUCCUCUAAAAUAAAUCAGCUUACCAGUGUUUGGUGGGUAUCAUGGGUGUGAUAACUAUCUACGCUUGUGGUUUUUCCGCCAGGUAACCUUCGACAGCGGAGGUUCACUGGAGCUCAUAGAUGUCUCUCCUCAGCGAGGACAGCCCUUUGAAUGUUUGAUCUCAAAUCAGGUAGGACUACCCGCUGAACUUAAGCAUAUCAAUAAGCGGAGGA
Molecule: unclassified non-coding RNA, 405 nt
Filed under: soil metagenome
Description: partial contains 5.8S ribosomal RNA, internal transcribed spacer 2, and large subunit ribosomal RNA
Rfam family: 5.8S ribosomal RNA (bases 1-121)
Source: RNAcentral